UCUCGGGCCCUGCAGAGAAGCCGCCGCCCGGUGUGAGGUCAGGUGUUAUUUAUCACAGCCGUCUGCGCGGGGAGUUGACAUUUGUACAGGCAUUCUGCUCUGCCAUUGUAAUUGACUCUCCUUGUCUUUUUGAGGACACCAGCAGAUAUAACUAUGUCAGGACACCUCUCAGCUAUAUAUUACCCGUCUCAGUGAGGACGACAACCGGAUUUGCAGCCACCUAGACUGAUCUCAUUGGGUAAACGCUUGGCACAGUGACAGAAGAACAGGAUGAACAUCCAAGUUCUAUUCCUCCUCAUCUCAUCUUCCAGGACUGUGGGAAAGCAAGGUCACGUUCAUGAGCAAUACCUCCUUAAACCGGCCUUAAGAUGAAUAUCUUUCUUGGCAGUCCUUAGACGGGCUGAGCUAUUAUGUUGAUCUUUCCCCAGAGCUUCUUUUGAAUUCAUGACUCCCAUAAUGCCCAUUUGCCAUAUUUGUUAACAUGCUGGGUCACCUGUCUCGCAGCUGUCCAUGUUGACUAGAUCUGCCUUUUCAUCGUCGAGAGCUACCUGCCAUAAUGACCCCGUAAUAAAGUGUCAUUAUCUUUCCACCCAGUCUAGUGUACUGUACACAAAGCCACCGGAGGAAUCCAGGUCCUGUCCAAUUCAUUUCUGCCAGGUAUGAAUGUCAGCGUCCUUUUGUGAGGAUUACAGACAUUCCCACAUUAGGGCUGGACUGAUUGUUCUUUGUGGAACGGUGGGAGUGGAAUAGCGCGUUUGAUUUCAGAUAAUGCAGAAGGAGACAAAUGCCACCGGACGGAGUGGGGCUUUUUGUGUCAACCUGGCUGCAGACUUGAAUCCGAGACUAUGACUGUGUCAAGCUGAGGUUGAAGAGAUGAGAAGGACUGUGGUGUGGAUUACACAGUCUGUAAUACAAUUUGUCAGGUUUUAUG
This is a long non-coding RNA of Pleuronectes platessa (European plaice), 931 nucleotides long. RefSeq lists it as uncharacterized. The record is from RefSeq and is a predicted model, not a curated record. The transcript has 3 exons. Lineage: Eukaryota; Metazoa; Chordata; Actinopteri; Pleuronectiformes; Pleuronectidae.